RNAcentral lists this long non-coding RNA (1177 nucleotides) under Ornithorhynchus anatinus (platypus). Its description in RNAcentral is "lncRNA (ENSOANG00000036342.1)". The record is from RNAcentral. Lineage: Eukaryota; Metazoa; Chordata; Mammalia; Monotremata; Ornithorhynchidae.
GGGGAGGGGAAGGCCGUUGGCGGGCGGGAAACGGCGGCCUGGGGGGGUGGGGGGGAGGCGCAGCUCUUUUGGCGGGAAACGGGGGGCGAGGCCCGGCUCCAUCAUGGGGGGUGAAGCUGAUUCCACCAUAGCAGGCGAAGGCGCUGCAGGCGCACAGCCCAACCUGCAGCAGGGAGAGCUGCCGCAGUUCGGACACCCACCCCGAGCAGACCUUCAUCCCGGACAGUAUGUUGCAUGCUGGCAGGGGCAAGAGGAACUGCUGCAAGGAUCCCUCUGGUGGCCUGUCGGUCUGCCAGGUUGGCCCGGACCGGUUACAGGUUGGGAUGGCGAGCAGGGGCCAUGGCCGCGCCCGGCCCAACCGACGCGACGUAUCCACCCGCGACCCCGUAUCCCGCGCCUGGAUCGAUGGGCACAUCCAGAGCAGCGGGGCCCGAGGACCCCCAAUGGGCCGGGACCCCGCGGCUUCCCCGCACAGCCCCCUACCGUCUUCCCCUCCCCGGCUCGGAACCUGCCAUUCCCGGCCGUCCAGUUCAUCGUCCUUCAACCGCCCCCCAUGCCUCUGCCCCUGACGCCACCCCUGGCUCUGCCCCCGCCCAUGGUUCUGCCACCACCCUUGAUUCUGCCUCUGCUCCUGUGGCCCUUAGCCCGUGCUCCACGCAGGCCAAGGUGCGGGCACCCCCGGGAUGGGAGGCAGUGAGGAGGGGAGCUUAGCAGAUCAGGUUGGGGAGGGGAGGGCGCGGGGGUCCCUGAGGGACUCCUUGCAGGAAGGUCAUGGGGUGGGGGGAGUUAUGGGGGCAGGGGUGAGGACUGGAAGCUGGCUGGGUUUUAAGUUUUGUUCUCUGUGUUUAUUAAACUUUUGAAUCUGAACACUCCAUGGCUGUCUCUGAAUUUUGGGUGGGGCAUGGGGUGGUGAUGGGGCUGCUCCAAUGCUACCCAGGUUAGUUCUGAUCAGGAUGAGGAGCAGCCCUGGGAGCCCAUGUGGGGUAGCAGGAGAGGUCCAGGGGAGUCCGGGGCUGUUCCCUCCACCCCAGACAACAAGCUGCCAUGAUGGUCCUGGUGCUCUGCUCCUUCUUCCUCUUCCCCAUCAGCCCUCUCCCCAGCACAGAAACCCCACCUGCGACAUCUGAGGACACAAAUGCAAAGGGAAAAGAAAUCUGACGGCCUGCGGGAUCUCAGU